This 468-nucleotide ribosomal RNA is filed under the name uncultured bacterium. RNAcentral describes it as "partial 16S ribosomal RNA". It matches the Rfam family "Bacterial small subunit ribosomal RNA", at positions 28 to 507 of the family's 1533-position model. The record is from RNAcentral.
GACGAACGCUGGCGGCGUGCUUAACACAUGCAAGUCGAACGGAAAGGCCCUGCUUUUGUGGGGUGCUCGAGUGGCGAACGGGUGAGUAACACGGGAGUAACCUGCCCUUGACUUUGGGAUAACUUCAGGAAACUGGGGCUAAUACCGGAUAGGAGCUCCUGCUGCAUGGGGGGGGUUGGAAAGUUUCGGCGGUUGGGGAUGGACUCGCGGCUUAUCAGCUUGUUGGUGGGGUAGUGGCUUACCAAGGCUUGGACGGGUAGCCGGCCUGAGAGGGUGACCGGCCACAUUGGGACUGAGAUACGGACCAGACUCCUACGGGAGGCAGCAGUGGGGAAUAUUGCACAAUGGGCGGAAGCCUGAUGCAGCAACGCCGCGUGCGGGAUGACGGCCUUCGGGUUGUAAACCGCUUUCGCCUGUGACGAAGCGUGAGUGACGGUAAUGGGUAAAGAAGCACCGGCUAACUACGUG